RNAcentral lists this long non-coding RNA (546 nucleotides) under Triticum aestivum (bread wheat). RNAcentral's name for it is "long non-coding RNA (TAES_LNC025202)". The record is from RNAcentral. Lineage: Eukaryota; Viridiplantae; Streptophyta; Magnoliopsida; Poales; Poaceae.
UCCAUUGGAAAACAUGAGUACUUUUCGUUUGUUUACUUCAAAAUGGACAUGAUAUUUUUUUAUGUAGCUUCUUCAGGAAGACAUGGGAUUUUUCACAAUAUUUUCAAGGUUGCGGAAGCAACGAGUUAACUUAAAAUGGGUAAAAAGAAAUAUGCGUGUGAGACUCGUAUGUCAUUGGCUAUAACAUGAUAUACUCUUUUUUUUGUUUUUUGUUUUCAGAUGUCACUUCUUAAAACGAACAUUUUUUUACAUCAGUUCUUGAAAAGAACAUGAUAUACUCAUGUAGUCCUCUCGUAGGAAAACUCCCUUGGGUCCGUACUAUCCAUCGGGAAACAUUAGUACUUUUCGUUCGUUUACUUCAAAAUGGACAUGAUAUUUUUUUAUGUAACUUCUUCAGGAAGACAUGAAAUUUUUCACAAUAUUUUCAAGGUUGCCGAAGCAACAAGUUAACUUCAAAUCGGUAAAAAGAAAUCUGCGUGUGAGACUCGUAUGUCAUUGGCUAUAACAUUUUCUUCCCGGCUCAACUCCCCACUCACACAAAGCAUG